Molecule: ribosomal RNA, 523 nt
Filed under: Monocrepidiini sp. UPOL RK0045
Lineage: Eukaryota; Metazoa; Arthropoda; Insecta; Coleoptera; Elateridae
Description: partial 16S ribosomal RNA
Rfam family: Bacterial large subunit ribosomal RNA
Source: RNAcentral
CAUGGCCUUUUGACUAUAAUUUAAGGUCUAAUCUGCUCAAUGAGGAGUUAAAUUGCCGCGGUAUUUUGACCGUGCGAAGGUAGCAUAAUAAUUAGUUUCUUUAUUGGAAGCUGGAAUGAAUGAUUGGACGAGAAAAUUACUGUAUCAACUUGAUUUUUUUUGAAGUUAACUUUUGAGUUAAAAGGCUCAAAUUUUAUUGAAAGACGAGAAGACCCUAUAGAGUUUAACAUUGUUUUUUAUUAAAAGUUUUUGGUAUUUAUUGUUUUAAUUUUUAUAUUUGUUUAGUUGGGGUGACUAGAAGAUUUAAUUAACUCUUCUAAUUAUUUUGUUACUGAUUAGUAAUUGUUUAAUCUAGAAUUUCUAAAUUUAAUAUAAAUUACCUUAGGGAUAACAGCGUAAUUUCUCUUUAGAGUUCUUAUUGAAAGGGGAGUUUGCGACCUCGAUGUUGGAUUAAAAUUAAUAUUGGGUGCAGAAGCUCAAUUAUUAAGUCUGUUCGACUUUUAAAAUUUUACAUGAUCUGAGU